This 119-nucleotide ribosomal RNA is filed under the name Helianthus annuus (common sunflower). Lineage: Eukaryota; Viridiplantae; Streptophyta; Magnoliopsida; Asterales; Asteraceae. The record is from RNAcentral.
GAUUGCGAUCAUACCAGCACUAAUGCACCGGAUCCCAUCAGAACUCCGCAGUUAAGCGUGCUUGGGCGAGAGUAGUACUAGGAUGGGUGACCCCCUGGGAAGUCCUCGUGUUGCAACCC